Molecule: ribosomal RNA, 300 nt
Filed under: uncultured bacterium
Lineage: Bacteria
Description: bacterial SSU rRNA
Rfam family: Bacterial small subunit ribosomal RNA (bases 52-300)
Source: RNAcentral
GGGGGCCGUGGUGCCGGAGCCGGGGGAAGAUAGAUGAGGCAAGCGUUGUCGGGAGUUACUGGGCGGAACGCGCACGCAGGCGGUCGCAGACGUGGGGUGUGAAAGCCCACGGGUGAACCGAGGGAGGCCAUCUCAAACGGUGCGACUGGAGUGCGGCAGAGGAGUGGGGAAUUGCCGGUGUAGUGGUGAAAUGCGUAGAGAUCGGCAGGAACACCAAAGGGGAAGCCAUCACUCUGGGCCAUGCCUGACGCUCAGGUGCGAAAGCGUGGGGAGCGAACCGGAUUAGAUACCCCAGUAGUC